GGGUGGUUUUGUUUAAUUCAGAUGUGAAAGCCCGGGGCUCAACCUUGGAAUUGCAUUUUGAAACUGGCAAACUAGAGUACUGUAGAGGGGGGGUAGAAUUUCAGGUGUAGCGGUGAAAUGCGUAGAGAUUUGAAGGAAUACCGGUGGCGAAGGCGGCCCCCUGGACAGAUACUGACACUCAGAUGCGAAAGCGUGGGGAGCAAACAGGAUUAGAUACCCUGGUAGUCCACGCCGUAAACGAUGUCUACUUGGAGGUUGUGGCCUUGAGCCGUGGCUUUCGGAGCUAACGCGUUAAGUAGACCGCCUGGGGAGUACGGUCGCAAGAUUAAAACUCAAAUGAAUUGACGGGGGCCCGCACAAGCGGUGGAGCAUGUGGUUUAAUUCGAUGCAACGCGAAGAACCUUACCUACUCUUGACAUCUACAGAAGCCAGCGGAGACGCAGGUGUGCCUUCGGGAACUGUAAGACAGGUGCUGCAUGGCUGUCGUCAGCUCGUGUUGUGAAAUGUUGGGUUAAGUCCCGCAACGAGCGCAACCCUUAUCCUUGUUUGCCAGCACUUCGGGUGGGAACUCCAGGGAGACUGCCGGUGAUAAACCGGAGGAAGGUGGGGACGACGUCAAGUCAUCAUGGCCCUUACGAGUAGGGCUACACACGUGCUACAAUGGCGCAUACAGAGGGCAGCCAACUUGCGAAAGUGAGCGAAUCCCAAAAAGUGCGUCGUAGUCCGGAUUGGAGUCUGCAACUCGACUCCAUGAAGUCGGAAUCGCUAGUAAUCGUGGAUCAGAAUGCCACGGUGAAUACGUUCCCGGGCCUUGUACACACCGCCCGUCACACCAUGGGAGUGGGCUGCAAAAGAAGUGGGUAGUUUAACCUUCGGGAGGACGCUCACCACUUUGUGGUUCAUGACUGGGGUGAAGUCGUAACAAGGUAACCG
RNAcentral lists this ribosomal RNA (933 nucleotides) under uncultured bacterium. Its description in RNAcentral is "bacterial SSU rRNA". It matches the Rfam family "Bacterial small subunit ribosomal RNA", at positions 573 to 1502 of the family's 1533-position model. The record is from RNAcentral.